Molecule: long non-coding RNA, 6823 nt
Filed under: Homo sapiens (human)
Lineage: Eukaryota; Metazoa; Chordata; Mammalia; Primates; Hominidae
Description: HSALNT0109083
Source: RNAcentral
CUUAAUCUUUAAAAAGUGAUCAAUUAGUCUAGCCUACAUCGCUUCUUAUUGGCAAUGCAUGCUACCAGGUGGCUGCUUUUGAAUCUUUAAAAAAAAUUAAAGAAAAUGUCUGAAAGGCAAGGUAAAGAGUAUAAUGAGAUAUGCUAACUUCUUACAAAAUUCUGAAUAAACUCAUGAAACUCCUAAAAUGUUAAUUAGUCCUCUUGUGCUGUAUGCUUAUCACACCUGUUUAGUUAUGCCACCACAGACAUGUUCCCUGGAAUUCUUAUUCUAGUCUGUGACUUCUAGUUAAUGAUGUCAUAAGCCUUUCUCAGUACAUAGUGGCACCAAAAUUCUCUUGUCACUUGGUACAUAGUUCAUAGGGAUGGGAGCACAGAGAAUCAGGUUAGUGGGCCUGGAUUUUAGUUCUGAACUUGUACUAGUUCAUGCAUUUCUAAAACUGUACUUAAAGAAACACAUGCAUGCCCAGGCCCACCCUUAGCCAUUUUUAUAUAGUCAGACUUGAGUGAAGCAAAAAUACCUGUGAUUUUCACAAAGUGUUUCUGAAGCACAGCUCUGCUCAGAGCCCUUGCUUUACAGGUUCCAAUAGUGUCAAAUCUAUGUCACUUAGCCUGAAUCCUCUGGAAAGCCGAGCCUGAAGCAAUGAUUAUGAUUCUAAUAGUUUAUUUUCCAGAUACAAUCACAUCACAGGAUGUUGAGGUAAGGAACAGAUGUAAUCUCUUGCAACACAGUGUGCUACCAUGCUGGCUACUGCAUCACAGCCAUAACACAACAUAUCAGAUAAUUCAGCAGGCUUGUUCAGUCAGCAGGAAGGAAUUAUCUAGAAGGCUUGAAAGGAAGCACUGUACCUGGGAGUAGUAUGCAGGGGAGAGAAAGGAGAAAUAAUUGCCUGCUUGCUUUCUCUCUGUCUCCCUUUUCCCACUGGUCAAAAUUCACUCUGGGUAGAACUACCUCUUUCACAUUUCUAGUUGCUUCAUCUGGUCCUUGAGUAACUGUGCAGGAAUGCAAAUUUUAUGUCCUGUAGGGUGAUGCUUCAUUUAAUUCCAAAGGUAGGGUUGAUUUGGCAACAUAUGGGGUUCUGACUAAGAAAGAGAGGAAGAAAGUAGCUAAAGUUUAUGUCCUUCAAUGCAAUAUUGUCACUGAAGGUGAAGGAGAGAUUAUUGAGGGGUUAUUUCAGCAUGUCAAAAAGAUAAAGUUGGAUUUAAAGAGGGCAUAUAAGAUUGAGGAAAGACAGGAGCCACACAGAAUACAUUGGGAAAAUAAAAAUUAGUGUUAAAUAUUGUUGAUUGGCACUUGACAUCUCUUUCCACCUUUCUAUAUUCUAACCUGCAUCCCAGGAGUUGGAAGGCAAAGAGCUACAUUUACAAGACUCUCUUGCUGCUAGGUUUCUGGCUGCAAUUCAGAUUUUGCCAAUAGGUUGCACUUGUGCAUAGUAUGUGGUAGAGAGCCCCUUUUUAUGUGGCUGUGGUACCACCACCAAGUUUCUGUAGAUGUGUGUACUGGCGACAACAGUAAUUUCUUCACCUAUGGAUUUCAGCUGUAGUGGAGUGACUUUAAAAGCAAGAGUUGGCCAAGUGUGGUGGCUCAUACCUGUAAUCCCAGCACUUUGGGAGCCCAAGGGGGAAGAUAGUUUGAGCCCAGGAGUUUGAGACCAGCUUGGGCAACAUAGUGAGACCCUAUCUAUAAAAAAGUUUAAAAAAUUAGCUGGGCGUGGUGGCACAUGCCUGUAGUCCCAGCUACUCUGGAGGCUGAGGCAGGAGGAUCACUUGAGCCUGGUAGGUUAAGGACGAGGGGAGCCAUGAUUGUUCCAUUGCACUCUAGCCUGAAUGACAGAGUGAGACCUUGUCCCUCAAAAAAAACCAAAAAAAAAAACAAAAAAACCAAGAGUCCAGUAGGGCCCUCUGACUUUUCCUCCUUUAGCUCUUCCAACCAUUUUGUAAGCACCCUCUUUCUGCAUUAAAACUCUUUAUGAGUCAUAUCCCUGGAGCAGUUUGGGUUUCCCGUAAAUGCAGUAAGACAGCAGAAGCACUGAAAAAGAAGUAGAGCUUGUGGGAUCUUGAUACACAGACCCUCAUGCUCAGCUCCUCAUCUGCAUUCAUCGUCAGCCCAGGAAUGGAAAGGGUCUUUGAGAUAUUCCCACACUGUCUUCCACAAUGGUUGACCUAAUUUACACUCCUACCAACAAGUGGCUUUUAACAGAUUAAACACCGAAUCUGUGAGCUGAUCUUUAGGAGCUGUGAAAGUUGGUGAGAUCGGGAAGGGAAUGGUAAGAGAGGAGACCCCAUCCAACCCUUCAACAAUAUGAGAGAGAUGAAGACAAUCUCCAAGAACUGAGGGAGUGACAGCAGCAUUAAGAAGAGCCCACUGCAUUCCUGAAGUCUGUACCGUGGCAGAAAGAAGGAUGAACACUGGAAAUGAACCUGAGCUUGAGACAGGCCAGCAUGAACAAUAGAAAGCCUGCAUGAUUCUGGCAUCUCAUUUCCGUGGGUCGGCUUCCCUAGGAUGUUCCUGCUUUUCUCAGAUGCUUCCCUUCUUCAAUAAGAUGUCCAAGAUUUUCACAGUGGCUCUCUUUUGACUUGACAAGAUGUUGGUACUGAAGAAACCGAAGUCUCAGUUCUUCACAUGUAGUGAGUCAGGAUGCAUAGUGUUUACGAGCAGGGGAGACUUCUUUGAGCCUUAGUUUUUUGUCUAUAAAGGGUAAAUACUAUCUCCCUAAUAAUGUCUACCAGAAAUCAAAUUUAAUAAUUCAUGACAGACACUUUGCACCUUAGCUGCUCCUCCUUGUAUUGCUGUUUAUCUACUCUACCACAUUUCUUGUAUUCUUAGUUGGUUUGUAAUAUUGUUAAAUACCAAGACCAUGUCUUAAAUCUCCUGUAGCUCUAGUGUCUAGUUCUAAGCACUGUAGAUACUGGGACUCAGUAAAUCUCUUUUUAUGAAUGUUGUGUGCCCUUGCCUGGUGAAAAAUAAUAGCUUAAAACUUAUAAGAGAACUUACUAUAUGCUACGUCUUAAGUGAUUUACUUAGAUCAAAUCAGGUACUUUUAAAACUCUAAACGAAAUUGAUCAUUGCCAUUUUACAGACAAGGAAACAAAGACCCAGAGUUGAAGUAGUUUCACCAUGUUGUCCAACCAGGAUUUGAACACAGGCAGUUUGGCUCUAGAGACCACUCCUUUUAUCACAAUGCUCUAUUGAGAAACACUUGGGAUCCCUCACUAGAUCAAUCACUUCCCUCAUUUAGGGAAAGAAGAGAAAAUAUUCAUGUCUGUACAAAAUGGGCAAGUGGCGACCACUACUUCUGAGACUGAGGUGAUUUUUGUAUGUGUUUUAUGCCCAGUACAAGAGCAUGUUCUUCCUUUUCCAGGAAAGUAUGAGAAGUAAUCUCAGAGUGCAGAGAACAACUUCAGGAGCAAGAGUGUAGGUCAGAUGCUGCUGCUCUAGCAGUUAACUCUUGUUCAAGAAUGCUCUUUUUGCUUCACUGAGAAAGUUCCAUGAAGAAACAUCCUGGCUCUAUACAACUAAACAGUAAUAACAAUUACAGCAGUAACGUAAUCAUACUGAAAACGUGGAUCCACCUGUAUGUCAUCACUGUUCAACUAAUGUGUUUUUUAAUGGAGGGAGCUUACUGACGUCAUAUACACAUGAAGAUUUAUUUGAAAUGAUGAAUUUUCCCCAGAAGGCACUUCAACUAUGCUGGGCAGAAAGUGGUGCCGUAAUGCAAAUACCAUAGGCCAUAGGGACAGACAGACUUGUGUUUAAGCCUAGCUAUACUAUAUAGUCACUACAUGAAUUUGGUCAAGUUGCUUAACUUCACUUAGCCAUAGCAGAUAAUAAUGAAAGACUCAGAGGGUUAUUAUGAAGGUCACAGUUUGAAUUCCAAAUGGUGUAUAAGAAAAACAAGAAUUAUUCAGCUGCCCCAAAGUGAGCUCUGUUUGCUUUAGCAGUAUGGCUAUCCCUGGUUACCCAGAUUCAGCAGACAAUUACACAAUUACAUAUUUCCUUUUGGCUUCACAAACCUGAGCUUAGAUUUCUUUCAGGUUCUUAGAAAAUUCAAAUAGCAACAAUAAUUCCUUGUCUUGGGUACUGAAACAUAGCACCUUAGCUCCGGGUGCUAAGAAAUCCACUCACAUGCUAUUCUGUGAAUCAUCAUAAUUAUAUUAAGCAGAAUAGAAAAAUAUGAUUAUGUUGAGUCAGUGGCUUCGUAAGAAGUUGUGGGUUCUAUGCACAUGCUAUUCUAUUAAUCAUCAUGAUUAUCUUAUAUGAAGCAGAAUAGAAAAAUAUGAUUAUGUUGAGUCAAUGGCUUAAUAAGUUGUUGGGUUCUAAUGUUAAUCUGAAAUAUGCCCCAUGUAUCCUACAUGCUGACGUAAAUGUUAGAUGAAUGGAUUAAUAUGUAAUCAAUGAAGUUACAGCAGUUGUUUGGCUUCUCAGUAUUGAUGUGUUCCACACAGCUGUGUGACCAACCAUCCUAGUUUCCUGAGAACUAGGACUUUCAGUGCUAAGAUCAGGAACGUCUUUCACACACUGAGGCAAGUUAGUUACCCUACACACAGAGGUAAGUGGGAUCUGUAUUAAAAUCAGUUAUACAAAUUUAUCUUCUGUUCAUUAAACUAUUAGAAUUUAAAAUAAACAUCUUUAUUAAGUUGCUCCUAAAUGAAGUGACUGCAUUUUAUUUUCAAAUUAAAUUCUUAAGACUUUAUAUUAUACGGACCUUUAUAUCAAGGUAGAUAUAAAUUAACUCUCAAUUCACAUUGAGAGUCAGAAUAGAUGCAUCUUUUAUUAAAAUUACCUAAAGAGAAAAUUGUAGCUUUGAAUGGUUCAAUACCUAAUCAGAAGAUAUUUUUUCAGAUUUUAUAAUUGGAUUUCUUUCCAGAUUUGUCUGCAUCCUGAAAAUGGCCACCUUUGCACAUUAGUCUAUAAUAUUAUAUUAAUGUAUGAUUUUCAGCUGGAGUCCCUUUCUGGAAGAUUUUGAGCCAAAUCUAAAUUUUAGAGAAAUUUUAGAAAAACCCAUGUAAAAAAAGAUAUACCUUUCAUAAAACUUCCAUAAUUAUCAAAAUUAAGAAAAAUUAGAAAAUCUCAGAAAGACAAUGAGAUUCCCAGCACAAAAGUCAUUUUUUUCCCCCAGGAGUGAAUGGGUAGUAUAAUCCUCAUUUUGUGAUAAAAGUGCACAAAGAAUCAAGGAUUGGUGCAAAAUCACUUUUUUUUUUUCAAGUGGGUCUUUGAAGCUUCUAGUGUGCCUCUGCUACUCUUGGCAAAUUCAGUUCCAAAUUAUCAUCUCCUAAGCUUCAUCAUAGUACUUCUCUCUUCUGCUUACCCAAAGGAAAAUUGUUUCUCAGGAGACAGCUCAAUAUUAGUUUACAUUGCUAUGUAAUAAUGUAGAACUUAAAUAACUAUCCAUAUGCCAGACAAUGACGAAUGUCUUGGUCUAAGAAACAACCUUCUAAGGUGCAAUUCCAGAUACUAGGAAUUCCAAGCAGUAGGAGUGAGAUGAUGAACUUCACUGUUGUUAAGUUAUUCCAUAGGAUAAUCAUUUUCCUGAGUUAAAAUCUAAGAGACAUUGCUUGAUCAUGACUAAAGAUCUAUGUCUGAGGCCAGGUAUAACUUGUGACUGUUUAUCAACUACUUAUUAACUUUACUUUCUUAAGUUUGAUUUGCAGGGCUGGGCAUGGUGGCUCACACCUCUAAUCCCAGCAGUUUUGGAAGUCUGAGAUGGGCAGAUCACCUGAGGUCAGGAGUUUGAAAUCGGCUUGACCAACAUAGUGAAACCCUAUCUCUACAAAAAAUACAAAAAUUAGUCGAGUGUGGUGGAGGGAGCCUGUAGUCCCAGCUACUCAGGAGGCUGAGGCAAGAGAAUCACUUGAACCUGGGAGGCAGAGGUUGCAGUAAGCCAUGAUGAAUUAAGCCACUGCACUCUAGCCUGAGCAACAGAGCAAGACUCUGUCUCAAAAUAAAUAAAUAAAUAAAUAAAAGUAAAUUAAAAAAUAAAAAGCUUUGAUUUGCAAGUAUAUGAAAUACAUUGCCACCUUGGAUUCCUAGGGACCAGACUAAUUUUUACACUUAAUUUUUCUAGGUUGACUAAAAAUGCACAUAUCCAUGGCUGAGACAAGAAUCUGUAACUGACAAAGCAGAGAAUAAUAGCACCCGGGAAUGUGUUGGUGGGAAGUUUUAGUUCUUACAUGUUGCCAUAAACCCCCAGGAGCUGUGUUGCAGCCCCUGCUUUUUCCCUGUGCAUAGAAGCACAGCUGUGUCUAGAUAACAGAUAGAAAUCUCUUGUUUUUGGGAAGGUAAGCCCCUCAGUCAUCUCUAUGGCAUAAUUCCUGAUCAAGCUGGGCCAGUCAUGGCAAUUCUAGCCCACUUUGCUUCUGAUUGGCCUACAGGUGGAUAUGACCCAGUUCUGGUCAAUGAGACGUAAAAAGGAAGUAUUACAGGGAUUCUUAGGACAGAUUUUCUCCUCAAUUAAAAAAACAAAAAAGUUAAUGCCUCAAAGAAGGUUCUUUCCUUCCUAAUUGAAUACUAUUGUAUAAGAUUGUGAUAUUUGGUGCUUCGACAGAUACCUUGAGACCAUAAGCUAGCAUACCUAAGGACAAAAAUAUAAUACUUUAAGGCUGAUAGAGCAGAUGAUACUGUUGAAUUUCUCUAUCAAAUAUAGAAAGAUUUGCCCCUUGAUUUCUUAUUUUUUAAGGUGAUUAAAGUCUUUAUUGUCUAACAUCUAGCCAAAUAUUCUGUUACUUGUAGCCAAAAGCAUUCCUAGGUAUAAGUUCAUAAAAAUAAAAUAAUAUUUUAAUAUGACUUAUAGUAUUUUAAAAUAUUAUACAAAAUAUUAAUAAAA